Molecule: ribosomal RNA, 253 nt
Filed under: uncultured bacterium
Lineage: Bacteria
Description: partial 16S ribosomal RNA
Rfam family: Bacterial small subunit ribosomal RNA
Source: RNAcentral
UACGUGGGGAGCAAGCGUUGUUCGGAUUUACUGGGCGUAAAGGGCGCGUAGGCGGCACUGCAAGUCAGUUGUGAAAUCUCCGGGCUUAACCCGGAAAGGUCAACUGAUACUGCAGGGCUAGAGUGCAGAAGGGGCAACUGGAAUUCUCGGUGUAGCGGUGAAAUGCGUAGAUAUCAGGAGGAACACCAAUAGCGAAGGCAGCUCGCUGGGACGGUACUGACGCUAAGGCGCGAAAGCGUGGGGAGCAAACAGG